Molecule: non-coding RNA, 998 nt
Organism: Nylanderia fulva
Lineage: Eukaryota; Metazoa; Arthropoda; Insecta; Hymenoptera; Formicidae
Source: RefSeq, a predicted model, not a curated record
CAGUUAAUGAUCAGUUGCAUCGCGCGUUUUUUUCUAUCCUUUAUUCUAUUUUUUUUUAAACACGGACGUCAUAACAGCCGUCUUAUCGAUGACACUAUGUUAGUGAACACAACUUCUGCUCUGCUAACAAUGCAGAAUAUAUAACGAGAUGUCUCGCUUUAUACACGUCCGCUCUUUCGUUCGGAAAUCUCAUCGUCUCUUCGUUUCUCUUUACACAUAAGUGUAGUUUGGUUUCGCAGUUUCGCGUAUAAAUUCGUAAACAUAUUGUGAGAUAAUUUUUCAUGAUAGACAAAUGUAAUUGAUACGACGAGACGAGUAGAUGACCGACACAUCGACUAAAAUGUUCGAGCUUCCAAUGAGGCCGCGACGUGUCCUAAGCAAGCUUUUUAUCUGUGAUGUUAUUGUUGGCGACAUAACCAUUGUUCGUGCCGUUGCUAUAACAGCUGUUGUACUCCUUGUUGUAGAUCGUGGCAUAUGAAGACACGCCGUUGUGAGUCGCGCUGCCGUUCUCAUCCAAAAUCGGCAUACAACCUCCACCGGACGUACCGUUGUGCAUCUUCUUCGCGGAGCUUUUGCUCCUGGUGCCGCUCACAUAUUUUGUUUUGUAAAAGUCCGAGAACAGUCCGAGGAAUAGAACACCGUGCAGACCAAUCCAGAUCAUGAAACCUCGUGGAUAAUUGCACUCGGUGAAGAGCAAUUGGAAUUGAUGGCACAUGAUCAGCACGAAUUGAAUCUAUUCGGAAGGUAAACAGUGAAACAACGUAAAAUUCGGGAGUGCUGUUAAAAGUAUCGCGCGUAUAAGUGUGAAAGUGUCGUUAAAAGUAUUUCGCGCGUACAAGUGCGGGAGUGUCGUUAAAAGUAUCGCGCGUGUUAAUCAACGGAUCUUAACAACCUGAGAGGAGGAGGAGGCCUGGGGAAGGCAUCAGGCAUCGGCAGAGCAACCCUAAGAGACAACGUGAAACUUGAACAUCAACUAUGCUGUUGUACAUCGGUGUCGG